Molecule: ribosomal RNA, 253 nt
Filed under: uncultured bacterium
Lineage: Bacteria
Description: partial 16S ribosomal RNA
Rfam family: Bacterial small subunit ribosomal RNA
Source: RNAcentral
UACGUAGGUGGCGAGCGUUGUCCGGAAUUACUGGGUGUAAAGGGCGUGUAGGCGGGGCGGCAAGUCAGAUGUGAAAUUCCGGGGCUUAACCCCGGCGCUGCAUCUGAAACUGUCGUUCUUUAGUGUCGGAGAGGAAAGUUGAAUUCCCAGUGUAGCGGUGAAAUGCGUAGAGAUAGGGAGGAACACCAGUGGCGAAGGCUGCUUUCUGGACGAUAACUGACGCUGAGGCGCGAAAGCGUGGGGAGCAAUCAGG